Molecule: transfer RNA, 77 nt
Filed under: Vibrio cholerae
Lineage: Bacteria; Pseudomonadati; Pseudomonadota; Gammaproteobacteria; Vibrionales; Vibrionaceae
Description: tRNA-Arg
Rfam family: tRNA
About the family: Transfer RNA (tRNA) molecules are approximately 80 nucleotides in length. Their secondary structure includes four short double-helical elements and three loops (D, anti-codon, and T loops).
Source: RNAcentral
GCGUCCGUAGCUCAGCUGGAUAGAGUACCUGGCUACGAACCAGGCGGACAGAGGUUCGAAUCCUCUCGGACGCGCCA